Drosophila sechellia is the source of this 617-nucleotide long non-coding RNA. RefSeq lists it as uncharacterized. Lineage: Eukaryota; Metazoa; Arthropoda; Insecta; Diptera; Drosophilidae. The transcript is spliced from 2 exons. The record is from RefSeq and is a predicted model, not a curated record.
ACAUGCUCCGAAAACAAAGGAGUGAAGAAAAUGACCAGGAACCUGAAAAAGGUUCUUCAAAUCCCACGCAAGUUAGCAAAGACAGCCCUCCUACCACCAGCAGAGCUGCCAGAGCUAGCUUCAAACCAAGAUUUAUUGAUGAAGCCAUGCAAUCGCCAAGAAACUCCAAUCUUAACUCACAAAAAGGCUUCUCUGACGGCCCCACUACAACCUUAGCAAACAGAGUCGACAACUUAGAAAAGAAAAUUGACAUUUUAAUGGCCUUAAUCUUACAAAUAAGAAACAAUAAUCUUGACAUGGACACAUCAAAUUAAAUCUAUAUCCUCUUACAUCUAAAUAAACGAUAUCUUUAUCCGAUGGAAAAGCGCACGUCUGUCUGCUUAUAAACCUCCUCCACUGUCACCACCCUUCUCGACGCAGCCUAAUUUAUCUGGAAUAAUAAUUCAAUUAGUGGAUGGCACAAAAACAAUAAACAAUACCCUCACCUCAACGCAUCCGGAUGAGCAAUCCUAAGACAACGCACUCCAGCUGAUCCUGACGAAACGAUGCGGAGAAAACCAACUAGGACAUAAAGGAUGAAUCGGUAGAUCGAUAUGAAAAGGAUUAGUGUGGCAGAA